Molecule: long non-coding RNA, 511 nt
Filed under: Junco hyemalis (dark-eyed junco)
Lineage: Eukaryota; Metazoa; Chordata; Aves; Passeriformes; Passerellidae
Description: lncRNA (ENSJHYG00000009888.1)
Source: RNAcentral
CAGGGAGGCACUUACCAUUGUUGCUUUCUUUUUGUACUAGUCUGUUACAUUUGGAGUUAUGACAGAUUAUACUACAGUUACCAUAAAGUAGUAUUUCCCAAGUGAAAAGACACUUCACAAACUAUUGUCUUUCUUUCUGUUUUCAGUUUUGCCAGUAAGAGACAAAAACAUUUGUUAGAAGGAGAAAGAAGCAGCAUAAAGAUUUAUUUUGGAAAGAAGAUUCUGUAGCUGUGGAACAAGCAAAUUGGAUCUUACUGUUUUCUGGUUACAUUUUGCCUUUUCACAUAAGGAAAUCUGCCCUCCAGUCCUUCUCACUUGACCAGAUGAGGAAUUUCACUUAUCUCCCAUUUCAGAGAACUCUACUAGACACGGUCUUCAGUCUGCAGUGGCUUUCACUGAUGUAACCCUACUUGUGGGAAAUAGAGCUGCAGAUUUCACCUGGCAUCAGACAUCUCUGAACAACGCUUUGCCAGCAGCUGUAAGACACUCCUGGGUCACAGGCAGGCAUCUU